Molecule: ribosomal RNA, 429 nt
Filed under: Bacillota bacterium
Lineage: Bacteria; Bacillati; Bacillota
Description: Firmicutes bacterium partial 16S ribosomal RNA
Rfam family: Bacterial small subunit ribosomal RNA
Source: RNAcentral
UGGGGAAUUUUUGACAAUGGGGGCAACCCUGAUCCAGCAAUGCCGCGUGUGUGAAGAAGGCCUUCGGGUUGUAAAGCACUUUUGUCCGGGAAGAAAUCGCACCUGAUAAUACCGGGUGUGGAUGACGGUACCGGAAGAAUAAGGACCGGCUAACUACGUGCCAGCAGCCGCGGUAAUACGUAGGGUCCAAGCGUUAAUCGGAGUUACUGGGCGUAAAGCGUGCGCAGGCGGUUGUGCAAGACCGAUGUGAAAUCCCCGGGCUUAACCUGGGAAUUGCAUUGGUGACUGCACGGCUAGAGUGUGUCAGAGGGGGGUAGAAUUCCACGUGUAGCAGUGAAAUGCGUAGAGAUGUGGAGGAAUACCGAUGGCGAAGGCAGCCCCCUGGGAUAACACUGACGCUCAUGCACGAAGGCGUGGGGAGCAAACAGG